RNAcentral lists this ribosomal RNA (460 nucleotides) under uncultured bacterium. RNAcentral's name for it is "partial 16S ribosomal RNA". It matches the Rfam family "Bacterial small subunit ribosomal RNA", at positions 338 to 795 of the family's 1533-position model. The record is from RNAcentral.
CCUACGGGUGGCAGCAGUGAGGAAUAUUGGUCAAUGGGCGCGAGCCUGAACCAGCCAAGUCGCGUGAGGGAAGACGGCCCUACGGGUUGUAAACCUCUUUUGCCGGGGUGCAACGGCCGCCACGUGUGGCGGCACUGAGAGUCCCCGGAGAAAAGGCAUCGGUUAACUCCGUCCCAGCAGCCGCGGUAAUCCGGAGGAUGCGAGCGUUAUCCGGUUUUUUUGGGUUUAAAGGGUGCGUAGGCGGAGCGUUAAGUCAGUGGUCAAAUUGAGGGGCUCAACCCCUGCCCGCCUUUGAAACUGGCGCGCUUGAGUGGAAGAGAAGUAUGCGGAAUGCGUGGUGUAGCGGUGAAAUGCAUAGAUAUCACGCAGAACCCCGAUUGCGAAGGCAGCAUGCCGGCUUCCGACUGACGCUGAAGCACGAAAGCGUGGGGAUCGAACAGGAUUAGAUACCCGAGUAGUC